Ziziphus jujuba (common jujube) is the source of this 1332-nucleotide RNA transcript. RefSeq lists it as uncharacterized. NCBI's taxonomy places the organism in Eukaryota, Viridiplantae, Streptophyta, Magnoliopsida, Rosales, Rhamnaceae. The transcript has 4 exons. The record is from RefSeq and is a predicted model, not a curated record.
AUUAUCCUUUCAAAAGAAAGAUUAAUGAAAGGGUAUGUGUAUUCUAUUUUUCCUCUGAACCUGAACGACAUGAACGGAGCACAAAGAAAAGAGGAAGAGAAAGUGAGACAGAAUGCCGAACAGAGCUUGGGAGAGAGAUGAUUUGUGUAAUGGGUAAUGCAAUUUUUAAAGUCUUUAAACUCAAGAGCGAGGGAAAAUGACUUAUUCAUCAGCUUGACUCUCUAAUCCCUAAAGAGGAAGAGACCCAUGUCUGUUGCAGCGAUUUGAGCUCGAAUGGUGCUUCAUUGAUGGCUCGGAAAGAAUCUGUGGACUGGAUUUUGACUGUUAAGGCGCACUAUAGGUUUUCUGCUGUGGCCGUUGUUCUUGCCAUGAACAUCUCCCGUAGAAGCAUUCUUCGUCUUCUUCUUCUUCUUUAAGCUUCGGCCUUUUCUGUAAUUCUUCCAACACAAAGAAGCAUUUUGGUGUUGACAAGUUAAGGAAGCUUUUGUCUGACAAGGAUGCAUACCAUCAAUUUUUACUUUCGCUCGAUCAAGUUAAAAUUCAAAAUAAUGUACGUACAUAAGCUUUUUCUCUUAUUUGGGAAUCUGUCUAUAGUACUUAAGUGCAUAAAGUGCAUGCAUCAACCCCUUUUUAAAAUGCUUGUUAGUGAAUAUUGGGUAUUGUACUAAUACAAUGACUUUUGUGCUUGAUUUAUAUGGUUUAUUAAUGAGCAUGGUGGUUUAUGCCUUCCCAAUAUAUAGUAGUUUCGCUAUUGUGAUACUUGAGUCUAUGUUCUGAUUAUUUUUCCUAGAUAUAUUUUUGCAACUUGACAAUUAUCAGCUUAGAGAUGAAAUUCGCAAAGAAACACUGCAACUAUGCAGAAUUAUUUAACAACAGAGUUGGCUGCUACAUAGGAGAAGCUACAUGAGCUUGAGAGACAAAAGGAAGAAAUGUUGAGGUUCGGUUCCCCUGCUUCCCUUCUCCAAAGGCUUCAAGAUGCAAUGAACAAAACCGAUGAGGAAUCUGAAAAUCUGCACAAGCAGCUUCUUGAUAGGGAGAUCGAGCUCGGUCCUUUUGUGCAGAUAUACAAGAAGCUUCGCACCACUUAAGCGAGCACUCAUUCAUCUUGCAGCUAAAACAAAUUCACUUAGUUGAAUUGAUAUUAUAGAAAGAUAUAUACUUGGAACACACUGAAAUCUUACUUGCAGUUUCAAUGCAUUGGCUAUAUAAACAUGAUUGUCUGUGUAUUAUUUGGUUAAAUAUUUUCUCUUUGCUAGUAUAUCAUUUUUGACAGCAUUUGUUCAUGUAAGUUCAACAUUCAUCAUGGUAUAGUAUUGUAAAGUUACAAUUUUA